CCUACGGGGGGCAGCAGUGAGGAAUAUUGGUCAAUGGACGAGAGUCUGAACCAGCCAAGUAGCGUGAAGGAUGACUGCCCUAUGGGUUGUAAACUUCUUUUAUAAAGGAAUAAAACGAGUCACGUGUGCCUCUUUGCAUGUACUUUAUGAAUAAGGAUCGGCUAAUUCCGUGCCAGCAGCCGCGGUAAUACGGAGGAUCCGAGCGUUAUCCGGAUUUAUUGGGUUUAAAGGGAGCGUAGACGGGUUGUUAAGUCAGGUGUGAAAGUUUGCGGCUCAACCGUAAAAUUGCAAUUGAUACUGGCAGUCUUGAGUACAGUUGAGGUAGGCGGAAUUCGUGGUGUAGCGGUGAAAUGCUUAGAUAUCACGAAGAACCCCGAUUGCGAAGGCAGCUUACUAAACUGUGACUGACAUUGAUGCUCGAAAGUGUGGGUAUCAAACAGGAUUAGAUACCCGGGUAGUC
This 460-nucleotide ribosomal RNA is filed under the name uncultured bacterium. Its description in RNAcentral is "partial 16S ribosomal RNA". It matches the Rfam family "Bacterial small subunit ribosomal RNA", at positions 338 to 795 of the family's 1533-position model. The record is from RNAcentral.